Molecule: ribosomal RNA, 552 nt
Filed under: Triticum aestivum (bread wheat)
Lineage: Eukaryota; Viridiplantae; Streptophyta; Magnoliopsida; Poales; Poaceae
Description: partial small subunit ribosomal RNA
Source: RNAcentral
AUGCAAGUGCCCUUCCAAGCGCUCGCCUCCAAACCACCCUAUCUCCACCUCCACCUCCACCCCACAUUAGGUUGGUUUCGCGUACACGUUCCGUGUCACAGCUGGGUAGCUUCAACGUACUCCAAAGUGGUGCUGUGCGGAGUUAGCUUGAAGAUGAGCAGGAACAAUGGCAAGGGGCCGAAGCUGGACCUGAGGCUGAGCUUCUCGCGGUCACGCGGCGGCGGCGGCGGAGGCGGAGGGGGUCCUUCGGCUGCGCCGCCGGGAGGCAGCAACUCGCCGAGGAGGAUGUCUUCGUCGUCUUCUUCCUCGGCAUCCCCGCCGAGCUCGUGCGUGUCUUCGGAGGGGAGCCCGGAGGCUGGCGGGGGCAGUGGUGGCUCGGCGAUGAUCCUCGCGGGCUGCCCCCGGUGCAUGAUGUACGUGAUGCUGUCGCGGGAGGACCCCAAGUGCCCCAAGUGCCACAGCACUGUGCUCCUCGACUUCAACGAUGUCGGCGCCGACCACCGCAACCCAGGGUUCGGCUCCGGCAAAGUCGGCAAGGGAAAGCGCGGCUGA